Molecule: ribosomal RNA, 250 nt
Filed under: uncultured bacterium
Lineage: Bacteria
Description: partial 16S ribosomal RNA
Rfam family: Bacterial small subunit ribosomal RNA
Source: RNAcentral
GACGUAGGAGGCGAGCGUUGUCCGGAUUUACUGGGCGUAAAGGGCGAGCAGGCGGCGGGGUGAGUUGGCCGUGAAAGCCCCCGGCUUAACUGGGGAGGGUCGGUCAAUACUGCCUCGCUCGAGGCCGGUAGGGGGGGACGGAAUUCCCGGUGUAGUGGUGAAAUGCGUAGAUAUCGGGAGGAACACCGAUGGCGAAAGCGGUCCCCUGGGCCGGUCCUGACGCUGAGGCGCGAAAGCGCGGGGAGCGAAC